This 505-nucleotide ribosomal RNA is filed under the name uncultured bacterium. RNAcentral describes it as "bacterial SSU rRNA". It matches the Rfam family "Bacterial small subunit ribosomal RNA", at positions 28 to 515 of the family's 1533-position model. The record is from RNAcentral.
GAUGAACGCUGGCGGCGUGCCUAAUACAUGCAAGUCGAGCGAACAGACGAGGAGCUUGCUCCUUUGACGUUAGCGGCGGACGGGUGAGUAACACGUGGGUAACCUACCUAUAAGACUGGGAUAACUUCGGGAAACCGGAGCUAAUACCGGAUAAUAUUUCGAACCGCAUGGUUCGAUAGUGAAAGAUGGCUUUGCUAUCACUUAUAGAUGGACCUGCGCCGUAUUAGCUAGUUGGUAAGGUAACGGCUUACCAAGGCAACGAUACGUAGCCGACCUGAGAGGGUGAUCGGCCACACUGGAACUGAGACACGGUCCAGACUCCUACGGGAGGCAGCAGUAGGGAAUCUUCCGCAAUGGGCGAAAGCCUGACGGAGCAACGCCGCGUGAGUGAUGAAGGUCUUCGGAUCGUAAAACUCUGUUAUUAGGGAAGAACAAACGUGUAAGUAACUGUGCACGUCUUGACGGUACCUAAUCAGAAAGCCACGGCUAACUACGUGCCAGCAGC